RNAcentral lists this ribosomal RNA (492 nucleotides) under uncultured bacterium. Its description in RNAcentral is "partial 16S ribosomal RNA". It matches the Rfam family "Bacterial small subunit ribosomal RNA", at positions 29 to 507 of the family's 1533-position model. The record is from RNAcentral.
AGUGAACGCUGGCGGUAGGCCUAACACACGCAAGUCGAACGGCAGCACAGUAAGAGCUUGCUCUUACGGGUGGCGAGUGGCGGACGGGUGAGGAAUACAUCGGAAUCUACUUUUUCGUGGGGGAUAACGUAGGGAAACUUACGCUAAUACCGCAUACGACCUACGGGUGAAAGCAGGGGAUCUUCGGACCUUGCGCGAUUGAAUGAGCCGAUGUCGGAUUAGCUAGUUGGCGGGGUAAAGGCCCACCAAGGCGACGAUCCGUAGCUGGUCUGAGAGGAUGAUCAGCCACACUGGAACUGAGACACGGUCCAGACUCCUACGGGAGGCAGCAGUGGGGAAUAUUGGACAAUGGGCGCAAGCCUGAUCCAGCCAUACCGCGUGGGUGAAGAAGGCCUUCGGGUUGUAAAGCCCUUUUGUUGGGAAAGAAAAGCAGCAGGUUAAUACCUCGCUGUUCUGACGGUACCCAAAGAAUAAGCACCGGCUAACUUCGUG